Molecule: long non-coding RNA, 1376 nt
Organism: Myripristis murdjan (pinecone soldierfish)
Lineage: Eukaryota; Metazoa; Chordata; Actinopteri; Holocentriformes; Holocentridae
Exons: 4
Source: RefSeq, a predicted model, not a curated record
GGGGCGGGAGCUGGCGUUGGUAAGGUUGGAGAAGAAGGAGGUUGAAAAAAUGGCGAACACAAGUGAAAAUGGACUGUGACAAAAAAGUUACGGCAAGUGGAUGUAUUUAGCAUAAGUGCGUGGUUGUAUGUUUUUAAAGACUCUCUAUCCGACAGUCUGUUGCUAAAACAUUACCUACACACCUUCACUGGAUUAAAAAAGACACUUUUAGCCCAGAAGUGAGAGACUUUAUUUGUUGCCUUGCAAUAUAGCUUGUGUUAGCACAUAUAGCUGUGUGCAGCAGCAGUCGCUAGCACACUGACUGGACUCAUGUUGCAGCUAGCCCAGCGCACAUCAGAGAUUUGUUUUUCCCCGUUGUUCCCGAUCUGGAAACCUUGAAGGAUUUGGCGUUGUUGCCGUGUGUUGCUGUCUCUCAUCACCCGCUCCUGGCCCCGCCGUCGCCUGUCGCCUGUCUCCUGGCCCCGCCGACCGCCGUCACCUGUCGCCGGGGUUUGCCGACCGUCAUCACUAGCUCCUGGCUCCGCCGACCGGCAUCACCUGCCGCUCAACGGACCUUGCCGCUUUGAGGACUCCGCUGCGUCAACUUACCUUCGUCAGAGACAUCGUUUACGUUAGAGAUUGGACCCGCAACUCUCACAUAAGGUACCAUAUUUUAUUUUCUGGCUCUUCUGAGUGAAGCGGCCAUUUUGUUUUGGGCCUCACCGCUCCCAAGCUAUGCAUCAGGCCUGCAUCAGAAUCUUCCCGAUUCUACCAGGUGCCGCCAUUUUGUGUUGUGUCCCGCCUAUUCACAGAAAUCGGUCAGGUUUUUUCCUUUGGUUGGAUUGUUUUGUUUUAUUUGUCUCAGAGGAUCUUCCAGUGACGUAGAUGGCAAGCCAUUCCCCUUCAAUCUAGAAGAAACAGAUUUCAAGAUACUACAGGAUCACUGGACAGGUUCUGCUGCACUCUCCGGUGUGGUAGGCCCAGUAUCAGCAGACACCCCCACACUCAGCACUUAAUUCACCCCCCUCUCCCCCAAUCACCAUCACACACAUUUGCCCAUAUCCCUGGAACUCUGAUCUGCCCAAACUUACCUGGACCUCUGAAUUCACUUACCUUGCUCACCAACAUUUUCUUGGACUCUGGACUUUGAACCAAUUUGCCCUUUCCUUCAUUGAGGAGGUCGUUCGGCCCUAAAUACCUUAGGGAAUCAGUUUCUAAUGACAUAGCUACUCUGGAUGGCAUUACUUUGGCCCCCGGCUCCACGGUAAGGAACCUCGGAGUCAUUUUCGAUGCGGAUUUGUCCUUUACCUCCCAUAUUAAACAGAUCUCUAAAACCGCCUUUUUUCACUUGCGUAAUAUCUCAAAAGUCCGACAUAUCUUGUCUCAGAGUGACGCAG